AGGUUGAGAUGAUGUCACAAUGGAAAAUGGGCCAAAGGAGUAUAUGCCAAUACUACUCAAAGUGUGGUCUGGGGUACACUGCUCAUUCAUGAAUUGUUUCUUGAUGGUCCACAAUGACGUAAAGCAUGGUUUAUCACCGUGUAAAACAACUCUUGCACAACCAAACAGCAAAAGUGAAUUCACCAUGAGUAUAUGCCAUUGUCCCUUCUUUACAGACCUUCCACCAUGGAUGAGAAGAUAAGAUUAAAACUUCAAUGUGAUUAGCAUGGAGUGAUCAAGCAGCAUAUGUGAAGGAAUGGAUAAUGAAUGAAUAUAAAUAUAUUCAUAUACAUAUAAUAGCAGAACUGUAUGUGAGUUCUGGCUUUACCAUGUAUUAGUAGCAUGGCCCUUGACCAAUCACUAAACCUUUAUAAGCCGAUAUCUGGGAGAUAGUAGUGACUUUUGAAUUGCAGUAUUA
RNAcentral lists this long non-coding RNA (457 nucleotides) under Equus asinus (donkey). RNAcentral's name for it is "lncRNA (ENSEASG00005033164.1)". The record is from RNAcentral. Lineage: Eukaryota; Metazoa; Chordata; Mammalia; Perissodactyla; Equidae.